RNAcentral lists this ribosomal RNA (484 nucleotides) under uncultured bacterium. RNAcentral's name for it is "partial 16S ribosomal RNA". It matches the Rfam family "Bacterial small subunit ribosomal RNA", at positions 30 to 507 of the family's 1533-position model. The record is from RNAcentral.
AUUGAACGCUGGCGGCAUGCCUUACACAUGCAAGUCGAACGGCAGCACGGGAGUAAUCCUGGUGGCGAGUGGCUAACGGGUGAGUAAAUCAUCGGAACGUGCCCAGUCGUGGGGGAUAACGUAGCGAAAGCUACGCUAAUAUCGCAUACGAUCCGUGGAUGAAAUCGGGGGACCGUAAGUCCUCGCGCUAUUGGAGCGUCCGAUGUCAGCUUAGGUAGUUGGUGAGGUAAAGGCUCACCAACCCGCCGAUCUGUAGCUGGUCUGAGAGGACGACCAGCCACACUGGGACUGAGACACGGCCCAGACUCCUACGGGAGGCAGCAGUGGGGAAUUUUGGACAAUGGGCGCAAGCCUGAUCCAGCAAUGCCGCGUGCAGGAUGAAGGCCUUCGGGUUGUAAACUGCUUUUGUACGGAGCGAAAAGGCUUCCACUAAUACUGGGGGCUCAUGACGGUACCGUAAGAAUAAGCACCGGCUAACUACGUG